This 428-nucleotide ribosomal RNA is filed under the name Rhodobacter sp. JA631. RNAcentral describes it as "bacterial SSU rRNA". It matches the Rfam family "Bacterial small subunit ribosomal RNA", at positions 121 to 583 of the family's 1533-position model. Lineage: Bacteria; Pseudomonadati; Pseudomonadota; Alphaproteobacteria; Rhodobacterales. The record is from RNAcentral.
GGAACGUGCCCUUUGCUACGGAAUAGCCCCGGGAAACUGGGAGUAAUACCGUAUGUGCCCUUCGGGGGAAAGAUUUAUCGGCAAAGGAUCGGCCCGCGUUGGAUUAGGUAGUUGGUGGGGUAAUGGCCUACCAAGCCGACGAUCCAUAGCUGGUUUGAGAGGAUGAUCAGCCACACUGGGACUGAGACACGGCCCAGACUCCUACGGGAGGCAGCAGUGGGGAAUCUUAGACAAUGGGGGAAACCCUGAUCUAGCCAUGCCGCGUGAGCGAUGAAGGCCUUAGGGUUGUAAAGCUCUUUCAGGUGGGAAGAUAAUGACGGUACCACCAGAAGAAGCCCCGGCUAACUCCGUGCCAGCAGCCGCGGUAAUACGGAGGGGGCUAGCGUUGUUCGGAAUUACUGGGCGUAAAGCGCACGUAGGCGGAUCAG